GUUUUCUUUAUUUUAUUUUAAAUGAUGCAAGAUGCAUGUUUUCUAAUACCAAAAAAGGGAAAUAUUUUUCCCAUGGCCUGAUUUUUUUCAUCAUUAGCUUUUCUUUUUUUCCCACAAUGAAAAAAACCAGCUCAACAUUUUCCCAUAAACCUCUGCAAUACAACCUGCACAUUGCGCUCCAGUGAAAGCUGUUACUGCUUGAAGGCCAGACACCAUAUUUCGAUUUACAGUGUUUUUCACAAUUGAAUCCCCUGUAAACAUGGAAAAACAACAGCUUUCAAAACAAGACUGAAAGCUGUAUGUUAUAUAUCAUAAAUACAUGCUGUGAAGGUGUCAGGAUUGGCCUGACCCGAACACACAAACCUAGGUUAAAACAAGGUAGGCCUGCAUACUGGUCCUUAGAGUGUACAGGCUAAAAUGAGAAAUAAGUCAGAACGUCUGCAAGCAGACACACAGUAUAAACAAUUAACAAGCCAAGGUCAUGGAUAAUGGAGAAUCAGGAAACAAGCCAAGGUCAGGGUUACAGAGAGCAAGAAUUGUCAAACAAGCCAUGGUUCGAAAUCAGAAUAAGAAGAGUAAUAUAACGCGCUCUUGGGUGUACAGAAUCC
Molecule: non-coding RNA, 608 nt
Organism: Pelobates cultripes (western spadefoot toad)
Lineage: Eukaryota; Metazoa; Chordata; Amphibia; Anura; Pelobatidae
Source: the annotation of a GenBank genome assembly